UUCCAGAGAAAAGCAGAAACCUGAAACAGAAAAAAGAAUGGCCGGGGAUCUGGCCUUGCAGAGCAUGGAAUUGCAAAUCUGAAGACCUUCAUCUACGCCCAGCUUUACUAAAUGUCACAGAAUUCAGAAUUUUAUAACACUUUUCCUUUAGAGGAGUUGCAGUAAAUAACUGAAGACAGCCGUUAUAAGCCAACAAUAGUAAAAGGCAUCACUAAGAAGCUUGAUUUCUUCAAGGUGAGGCACCAUCAUAGCCAGCUCCUCCAACAUGUUCACACGUACCCCCUCUGUAGACCCAAGAUGAUUCUAGCAAUCCUGAGUCAUGUGCCUUCGUUUUUUUCCAGAGAGGAAAAACAUAAUGCUUUUGCUCCACUAUUUCUAAAGAAAGGUAUGUGGUUCACUCUCACUGACCUUGUUUGGGUCCUGAACCAAUUACCACUGACACAGUUACGAAGAGCAAUGAGAAGCUAAGCCUAUGUCACACGUGACACUCCUAGAGCCAGACUAAAUUAACUACCUAGCACUACACUGAUCUAUAAAUGUAAAUCAAGAAUGGCAAACAUUGUUGAAAACAGCAGAACCAUAAGAUGGAAGAUCCCUGAGUCCUUGAAUCGCUGCUUAGAACAAAGAUACAAGAAGACCAAUGGAUCAAAGGCCCAGAGAAGGAAAAUAAAAGGGGUUUUAAAAUGGCCCACAUGGACUCUUUACUUCCUGGUCUUUCUUUAUAUCCCUAGUAUUCAGUAGAAAUAAUGGUAAAAUAUCUGCAUCAAAUUAAAUGCUGAUGGACAGAUCCUAGAAGGAAAAUUAAGACCUGCCCACAAGAAAGGGCACACAGUUUCCAAAAGAAAAAUUCUAAUGAAACAAUAAAGGAUAAAGAAAUUGGAUCAGAGCAUUUCAAUAUCAAUUGAACUUCACUUCCAAUCAGACUAAAGUUAUAUGAAGUAUUCAUGAGUAAUUUGUGUUAAUUUCUA
Molecule: long non-coding RNA, 968 nt
Organism: Canis lupus familiaris (dog)
Lineage: Eukaryota; Metazoa; Chordata; Mammalia; Carnivora; Canidae
Exons: 6
Source: RefSeq, a predicted model, not a curated record